Molecule: long non-coding RNA, 1870 nt
Organism: Helianthus annuus (common sunflower)
Lineage: Eukaryota; Viridiplantae; Streptophyta; Magnoliopsida; Asterales; Asteraceae
Exons: 4
Source: RefSeq, a predicted model, not a curated record
UAUAAUGUAUAUAAGAAAGAGAAUGUUGAAAUUUAAGAGAUACCAUAUGUAGAAACAUUUUUGGGUUCUUUUGAAACACUUUGUUCACUUUAAUCCAAAUGACUCAAUCUGAUUAAUCUGAACCCUCACCCCUCCCCCCGCUCUGUUAAAAUCAAGGGUGUAUACCUGAGCCCCCUCUUUCUCUCUCUAUACUUUUGGCUCCACAAAUUGAGAUUCGGGUUUUGAAUUUUGAAAAGGGUUUGAGCUCCACAAAUCUCAAAUCUGAGACAAGGCUCUCUUCCACCACCACUCCAUCCUCUUUCUACAGCAACGGUUCUUCUGUGUCAAGAAGUAGCAAUGGUGGCUAUGGUUCAAGUGGUGGUAGUAUGCUUUGCUUGGGUUCUAACAGCAUUAAGUAUUCCGGCAACCACCAGUGAAAACGAGCGCCAUAAACAGAUUCCACUAGGUUUUCGGCGAGAUUUCUGGUAUGUGUACAUGGUUAAUGGACAAAUCUGUUUGUUUUUUUGUGUAUAUGUUUCUAUUAUUUGUGAACAAACAGAUGGUGGUUGCAAUUUGCAACUACACUUUCUACAACUCUUCAGUUUCUCUUCUACUCAGACCCCACCUCCUUACUCUUCACAAGCCCUAAAUCGUCUAUCAAAUUUGUGAAUCUAUAAGUUAAUUUGAUGAUAUAAUGAAUGUUCAAGUUACAGAUGUUAUUGAAGAUCUAUCAAGGCCCAAUUUGAACAGAGAAGCUGGAUGCAUAGGUAUUUGAUUACCGUUGGUUCCUGGAUAAAGCAAGGGGCUAAAGCUAUGAAUUAAUCUGUUUUUGUACUUUAUUCUUUAUUGUGGUUGGGAGUAUGGAGUUUAGGGGUUGAGAUUAAAAUUUGAAGCUCAGGUUUUGGCAUUCUGAUCCAAAAUUACUUUGAUUCUUAUACUGGUACAUGUAACUAAGCUUGAGACACUUGUAUGUUAUUUGCUAAACUGUUGAUGCUUGAUUGAUGUAUUUUACAGAGUUUUUGAGUCAACAUUUGCUAGAAGAAAGUCUAUUCUAAAGGAACGGUUCUCAAAGAAGUACAAGCAGCUCACACUCAAGUGAUUAAAUGCGCAGUACACCCUGGACCACAUACCAUAGACGGCAUAGUGGCAGCAACCAGCUGGUGGUAGAAAAGAUUCUUGCUGGAACCAUAAGGCGAGAAAUGGCUUUUGUUACCAGAUCGUUUCUUCUCUCUGCAUGAUUCCUCCCGCAUUCUUCAACCUGUGUUCACGCUAGCUGCUGAGAGCUCUGGAGGCUGAUGUUAAUACACUACAGGAAGCUGAGCUCGUAUUAACUUUUGAAAACCUCACCACUUCAUAAGGCUGGUGGGUAUGGUCCCGUCCUCCACCCCGGCGCCGCCACGGUGUCAUCGUCCCUCCACGCUGCCCCCCCCUCCGUCCCGUCCUCUUCGUCCUUUCUUUGCCGUUUGCGACGGAGCAAACAGGUGCCCCCCCCCCCCCCCCCCCCGGUCUUCAUCCCGUCACCCUCUUCAUCCCGUCACCAUACCCAGUAGCCUAAGUAUUAGUUCCAUGUGUUAAGAUCCUUGAACAGUACACACGUCUUACAUGUUUCAGUUGCACAGAACUUGUGAAGUUCUAUUUAAACAUGUGGUGCAAAAUCUCAUCAGAUUUUGGUCUUUGAUUCAUUAUUGACUGGUUAUAUUACAAAGGUUUCAAAACCUGUUCCAAGAGUAGUUCAUCCAUAUUGGUAUGUUUGUUUUGUUAGUAAACGAUCACCCAUUAGUGGUUUGUAUAUUUGUGUAACUAUGGAUUUUCCUUGGCCAACUUAUCUUGUACCACUAUUAUCUAUCAUUAACGAUGGAAUAUAUCUCAAAAUACUAUUAAAUUAAAUAAA